CAACUGUGUGAAUUAAUGCGAACUGCAUACUGCUUUGAACAUCGACAUCUUGAACGCAUAUUGCGGCCAUGGGUUUGCCUGUGGCCACGCCUGUCCGAGGGUCGGCUUAUAAACUAUCACGACGCCCAAAAAGUCGUGGCUUGGGUCUUGCCAGCUGGCAUGAUUUCCCCGCACGUUUGUGUGGGGUGCCGGAUCUGUGGCUUUUCCCCAAUGUGCCGGACGCAACCAUGUCUGGGCUGACUGCCUAGAUGAGGGGGUGGCGGCGGAGUCGUGGCUCAAUUGUUCUUAUUGUUGUGUAUGUGCGCGCUCCGUUGUUGUUCCUUUGUCUUUGGUUGAAGCUCCAGUAGUGGCAAUGCAUUCGAUGCAAAUCUGUUUUGCACUUCCGUGCUUAACUUYCCUGACCUCGGAUCAGACGUGAUUACCCGCUGAACUUAAGCAUAUCACUAAGCGGAGGAAAAGAAACUAACAAGGAUUCCCUCAGUAACGGCGAGUGAACAGGGAAAAGCCCAGCACCGAAGCCUGUGGCCAAUUGGUCACUAGGCAAUGUGGUGUUCAGGUUGUUCCGCGGAGGUGCUGCUCCAUUCCAAGUCCAGCAAUGAGUACGGUAAUGCUGACAUGGCCCAAAGAGGGUGAAAGGCCCGUUGGGGUGGAGAGGCAGAAAUGACAGCACCUUCCUGGAUAGAC
RNAcentral lists this ribosomal RNA (684 nucleotides) under Metorchis bilis. Its description in RNAcentral is "eukaryotic LSU rRNA". Lineage: Eukaryota; Metazoa; Platyhelminthes; Trematoda; Opisthorchiida; Opisthorchiidae. The record is from RNAcentral.